RNAcentral lists this ribosomal RNA (819 nucleotides) under uncultured fungus. RNAcentral's name for it is "eukaryotic LSU rRNA". It matches the Rfam family "Eukaryotic large subunit ribosomal RNA", at positions 140 to 821 of the family's 3401-position model. The record is from RNAcentral. Lineage: Eukaryota; Fungi.
GAAUUGUAGUUUAUAGAAGCGUUUUCGGUGGCAGCCUGGGUAUAAAUCCUUUGGAAUAGGGUAUCAUAGAGGGUGAGAAUCCCGUCUUUGACUCAGUGCAUGCUACUAUGUGAUACGUUUUCAAAGAGUCGAGUUGUUUGGGAAUGCAGCUCAAAAUGGGUGGUAAAUUUCAUCUAAAGCUAAAUAUUGGCGAGAGACCGAUAGCGAACAAGUACCGUGAGGGAAAGAUGAAAAGAACUUUGAAAAGAGAGUUAAACAGUGCGUGAAAUUGUUGAAAGGGAAACGUUUGACACCAGUUAUGCGGGUGGAAAAUCAGUCUUUUGCAAUGGGGAGUUGUGGGCGUUCAGACCGCAAGGCUGGCGUUUGCUUCAUCUUUGUUGUAAGUGAUGCACUUUUUCAUUUGCAGGUCAACAUCAGUUUGCUUUGCUGGACAAAACCCCAAGGGAAGGUGGCAGCUUAGGCUGUGUUAUAGCCCUGGGGCGAUACAGUGGAGUGGACUGAGGUUUCGCAGUGUGUGCUCUCGGGCAAGGCUGACUGGGUGCUAUGGGAUCGUUCGGCGUACAAUGCAUGCAUUUUGCGUCGUGUCUUUUUCAUACUCGCUCAACUCGGCUCUUCCACACUUAGGAUGUUGACUUAAUGGUUUUAAACGACCCGUCUUGAAACACGGACCAAGGAGUCUAACAUAUAUGCAAGUGUUUGGGUGGCAAACCCAUGCGCGUAAUGAAAGUGAACGUAGGUGCGAUCCGCAAGGUGCAGCAUCGACCGAUCUUGAUAUUUUUGGAUAGAUUUGAGUAAGAGCAUAUAUGCUGGGACCCGAAA